This is a non-coding RNA of Schistosoma rodhaini, 39 nucleotides long. NCBI's taxonomy places the organism in Eukaryota, Metazoa, Platyhelminthes, Trematoda, Strigeidida, Schistosomatidae. The record is from Rfam.
UGAGGAGUCCCAUAAUAGGACGAAACGGCCGUCCAGUGC